RNAcentral lists this ribosomal RNA (503 nucleotides) under uncultured bacterium. RNAcentral's name for it is "partial 16S ribosomal RNA". It matches the Rfam family "Bacterial small subunit ribosomal RNA", at positions 30 to 523 of the family's 1533-position model. The record is from RNAcentral.
AUUGAACGCUGGCGGCAGGCUUAACACAUGCAAGUCGAGCGGGGUGAUGGUGCUUGCACUAUCACUUAGCGGCGGACGGGUGAGUAAUGCUUAGGAAUCUGCCUAUUAGUGGGGGACAACAUCUCGAAAGGGAUGCUAAUACCGCAUACGUCCUACGGGAGAAAGCAGGGGAUCACUUGUGACCUUGCGCUAAUAGAUGAGCCUAAGUCGGAUUAGCUAGUUGGUGGGGUAAAGGCCUACCAAGGCGACGAUCGGUAGCGGGUCUGAGAGGAUGAUCCGCCACACUGGGACUGAGACACGGCCCAGACUCCUACGGGAGGCAGCAGUGGGGAAUAUUGGACAAUGGGGGGAACCCUGAUCCAGCCAUGCCGCGUGUGUGGAGAAGGCCUUAUGGUUGUAAAGCACUUUAAGCGAGGAGGAGGCUCUUUUGGUUAAUACCCAAGAUGAGUGGACGUUACUCGCAGAAUAAGCACCGGCUAACUCUGUGCCAGCAGCCGCAGUAA